RNAcentral lists this ribosomal RNA (388 nucleotides) under Enterobacter mori. Its description in RNAcentral is "bacterial SSU rRNA". It matches the Rfam family "Bacterial small subunit ribosomal RNA", at positions 90 to 473 of the family's 1533-position model. The record is from RNAcentral. Lineage: Bacteria; Pseudomonadati; Pseudomonadota; Gammaproteobacteria; Enterobacterales; Enterobacteriaceae.
GACGAGCGGCGGACGGGUGAGUAAUGUCUGGGAAACUGCCUGAUGGAGGGGGAUAACUACUGGAAACGGUAGCUAAUACCGCAUAACGUCGCAAGACCAAAGAGGGGGACCUUCGGGCCUCUUGCCAUCAGAUGUGCCCAGAUGGGAUUAGCUAGUAGGUGGGGUAACGGCUCACCUAGGCGACGAUCCCUAGCUGGUCUGAGAGGAUGACCAGCCACACUGGAACUGAGACACGGUCCAGACUCCUACGGGAGGCAGCAGUGGGGAAUAUUGCACAAUGGGCGCAAGCCUGAUGCAGCCAUGCCGCGUGUAUGAAGAAGGCCUUCGGGUUGUAAAGUACUUUCAGCGGGGGAGGAAGGUGUUGAGGUUAAUAACCUCAGCAAUUGAC